CUCCAGGGAUGACCUUUACUUUUGUGCCACGUGUCUGGGCCACUGAUUAUUUUAUGAUGGGAUUGAGGAACUGAGGAG
This 78-nucleotide small nucleolar RNA is filed under the name Echeneis naucrates (live sharksucker). RNAcentral describes it as "Small nucleolar RNA SNORD66 (ENSENLG00000012791.1)". It matches the Rfam family "Small nucleolar RNA SNORD66". Rfam says of the family: snoRNA HBII-142 is part of the C/D family of snoRNAs. Lineage: Eukaryota; Metazoa; Chordata; Actinopteri; Carangiformes; Echeneidae. The record is from Rfam by way of RNAcentral.